This 502-nucleotide ribosomal RNA is filed under the name uncultured bacterium. Its description in RNAcentral is "partial 16S ribosomal RNA". It matches the Rfam family "Bacterial small subunit ribosomal RNA", at positions 30 to 523 of the family's 1533-position model. The record is from RNAcentral.
AUUGAACGCUGGCGGCAGGCUUAACACAUGCAAGUCGAGCGGUAACAGGAGAAGCUUGCUUCUCGCUGACGAGCGGCGGACGGGUGAGUAAUACUUAGGAAUCUACCUAGUAGUGGGGGAUAGCUCGGGGAAACUCGAAUUAAUACCGCAUACUACCUACGGGAGAAAGGGGGCAACUUGUUGCUCUCGCUAUUAGAUGAGCCUAAGUCGGAUUAGCUAGAUGGUGGGGUAAAGGCCUACCAUGGCGACGAUCUGUAGUUGGUCUGAGGGGAUGAUCAGCCACACCGGGACUGAGACACGGCCCGGACUCCUACGGGAGGCAGCAGUGGGGAAUAUUGGACAAUGGGGGCAACCCUGAUCCAGCCAUGCCGCGUGUGUGAAGAAGGCCUUUUGGUUGUAAAGCACUUUAAGCAGUGAAGAAGACUCUAGGGUUAAUACCCUUAGACGAUGACAUUAGCUGCAGAAUAAGCACCGGCUAACUCUGUGCCAGCCGCCGCCGUAA